Molecule: ribosomal RNA, 497 nt
Filed under: uncultured bacterium
Lineage: Bacteria
Description: partial 16S ribosomal RNA
Rfam family: Bacterial small subunit ribosomal RNA
Source: RNAcentral
GAUGAACGCUGGCGGCGUGCCUAAUACAUGCAAGUCGAGCGAACAGACGAGGAGCUUGCUCCUCUGACGUUAGCGGCGGACGGGUGAGUAACACGUGGAUAACCUACCUAUAAGACUGGGAUAACUUCGGGAAACCGGAGCUAAUACCGGAUAAUAUAUUGAACCGCAUGGUUCAAUAGUGAAAGCCGUUUUUGCUGUCACUUAUAGAUGGAUCCGCGCCGCAUUAGGUAGUUGGUAAGGUAACGGCUUACCAAGGCAACGAUGCGUAGCCGACCUGAGAGGGUGAUCGGCCAAACUGGAACUGAGACACGGUCCAGACUCCUACGGGAGGCAGCAGUAGGGAAUCUUGCGCAAUGGGCGAAAGCUUGACAGAGCAACGCCGCGUGAGUGAAGAAGGUCUUCGGAUCGUAAAACUCUGUUAUUAGGGAAGAACAAAUGUGUAAGUAACUAUGCACGUCUUGACGGUACCUAAUCAGAAAGCCACGGCUAACUACGUG